GACGGAGGAUGCAAGUGUUAUCCGGAAUCACUGGGCGUAAAGCGUCUGUAGGUGGUUAAAAAGUCCACUGUUAAAGAUUGAAGCUUAACUUCAAAAAUGCCGUGGAAACUUUUAAACUUGAGUAUGAUAGGGUAGAGGGAAUUUCCAGUGGAGCGGUGAAAUGCGUAGAUAUCGGGAAGAACACCAGUGGCGAAGGCGGCUGCCUGGCCUGUAACUGACGCUGAGACGACGAAAGCGUGGGGAGCGAACCGG
This 252-nucleotide ribosomal RNA is filed under the name uncultured bacterium. RNAcentral's name for it is "partial 16S ribosomal RNA". It matches the Rfam family "Bacterial small subunit ribosomal RNA", at positions 524 to 776 of the family's 1533-position model. The record is from RNAcentral.